Molecule: unclassified non-coding RNA, 335 nt
Filed under: soil metagenome
Description: partial contains 5.8S ribosomal RNA, internal transcribed spacer 2, and large subunit ribosomal RNA
Rfam family: 5.8S ribosomal RNA (bases 4-119)
Source: RNAcentral
GAUAAGAACGUAGCGAAAUGCGAUAAGUAAUGUGAAUUGCAGAAUUCAGUGAAUCAUCGAAUCUUUGAACGCACAUUGCGCCCGCCAGUAUUCUGGCGGGCAUGCCUGUUCGAGCGUCAUUUCAACCAUCAAGCCCCCGGCUUGUGUUGGGGACCUGCGGCUGCCGCAGGCCCUGAAAACCAGUGGCGGGCUCGCUGUCACACCGAGCGUAGUAGAUUUUCAUCUCGCUCAGGGCGUGCUGCGGGUUCCGGCCGUAAAAAGCCUUAUUUACCCAAGGUUGACCUCGGAUCAGGUAGGAAGACCCGCUGAACUUAAGCAUAUCAAUAAGCGGAGGA